This 386-nucleotide ribosomal RNA is filed under the name Anaerostipes hadrus. Its description in RNAcentral is "bacterial SSU rRNA". It matches the Rfam family "Bacterial small subunit ribosomal RNA", at positions 108 to 512 of the family's 1533-position model. The record is from RNAcentral. Lineage: Bacteria; Bacillati; Bacillota; Clostridia; Lachnospirales; Lachnospiraceae.
GAGUAACGCGUGGGUAACCUGCCCUGUACAGGGGGAUAACAGUCAGAAAUGACUGCUAAUACCGCAUAAGACCACAGCACCGCAUGGUGCAGGGGUAAAAACUCCGGUGGUACAGGAUGGACCCGCGUCUGAUUAGCUGGUUGGUGAGGUAACGGCUCACCAAGGCGACGAUCAGUAGCCGGCUUGAGAGAGUGAACGGCCACAUUGGGACUGAGACACGGCCCAAACUCCUACGGGAGGCAGCAGUGGGGAAUAUUGCACAAUGGGGGAAACCCUGAUGCAGCGACGCCGCGUGAGUGAAGAAGUAUCUCGGUAUGUAAAGCUCUAUCAGCAGGGAAGAAAAUGACGGUACCUGACUAAGAAGCCCCGGCUAACUACGUGCCAGC